Molecule: ribosomal RNA, 433 nt
Filed under: uncultured bacterium
Lineage: Bacteria
Description: partial 16S ribosomal RNA
Rfam family: Bacterial small subunit ribosomal RNA
Source: RNAcentral
AACGAACGCUGGCGGCAUGCCUAACACAUGCAAGUCGAACGAGACCUUCGGGUCUAGUGGCGCACGGGUGCGUAACGCGUGGGAACCUGCCCUUAGGUUCGGAAUAAUUCCCCGAAAGGGGUGCUAAUACCGGAUAAUGUCUUCGGACCAAAGAUUUAUCGCCUUUGGAUGGGCCCGCGUUGGUUUAGCUAGUUGGUAGGGUAAAAGCCUACCAAGGCGACGAUCCAUAGCUGGUCUGAGAGGAUGAUCAGCCACACUGGGACUGAGACACGGCCCAGACUACUACGGGAGGCAGCAGUGGGGGAUAUUGGACAAUGGGCGAAAGCCAGAUCCAGCAAUGCCGCGUGAGUGAUGAAGGCCUUAGAGUUGUAAAGCUCUUUUACCCGGGAUGAUAAUGACAGUACCGGAAGAAUAAGCUCCGGCUAACUCCGUG